GGGGCUAUAGCUCAGCUGGGAGAGCGCUACGUUCGCAAUGUAGAGGCCAGGAGUUCGAUCCUCCUUAGCUCCACCA
RNAcentral lists this transfer RNA (76 nucleotides) under Fluviirhizobium alvei. RNAcentral's name for it is "tRNA-Ala". It matches the Rfam family "tRNA". From Rfam's summary of the family: Transfer RNA (tRNA) molecules are approximately 80 nucleotides in length. Their secondary structure includes four short double-helical elements and three loops (D, anti-codon, and T loops). Lineage: Bacteria; Pseudomonadati; Pseudomonadota; Alphaproteobacteria; Hyphomicrobiales; Rhizobiaceae. The record is from RNAcentral. RNAcentral also lists the same sequence under 1 other name.